CCCUUAGAUGUUCUGGGCCGCACGCGCGCUACACUGAUCGAUUCAACGAGUUUUGAAAUAAUUUUUAUAAUUUUUCAUAUCCUUUGUCGGAAGGCAUGGGUAAUCUUUUAAAUGUCGAUCGUGAUGGGGCUAGAUUCUUGCAAUUAUUAAUCUCCAACGAGGAAUUCCUAGUAAACGCAAGUCAUCAGCUUGCAUUGAUUACGUCCCUGCCCUUUGUACACACCGCCCGUCGCACCUACCGAUUGAAUGGUCCGGUGAGGCUUUGGGAUCUGAGCGGAAAGAGCGUUUCGCUGUUUCUGCUCGGAAAACUCAGUCGAACCUUAUCAUUUAGAGGAAGGAGAAGUCGUAACA
This 351-nucleotide ribosomal RNA is filed under the name uncultured eukaryote. Its description in RNAcentral is "partial 18S ribosomal RNA". It matches the Rfam family "Eukaryotic small subunit ribosomal RNA", at positions 1470 to 1796 of the family's 1831-position model. The record is from RNAcentral.